Long non-coding RNA from Diabrotica virgifera virgifera (western corn rootworm), 330 nucleotides. RefSeq lists it as uncharacterized. NCBI's taxonomy places the organism in Eukaryota, Metazoa, Arthropoda, Insecta, Coleoptera, Chrysomelidae. The record is from RefSeq and is a predicted model, not a curated record. The transcript is spliced from 2 exons.
UGAAGGGCUUUUGCCUAGUUUAUUCCCCUAUCCAUACGGGGGAAGGGCAACGAACAGUUGCCUGAGGAUUGGUUAAAAAAUUCCCCCUCAUUGUAUAUAGAAACGUAAAAUAGAAAUAGAAGAACAUGUGUUAUCGAGUUUAGGUCUUAGCGCUGAAAAAAAAAAUAAUAUUUUAAUAUCCAUUAGUGGUUUGGUAUAAGUAUUUAGUAAUAGUCUUUAAUAUUAGUAUGUAUUUUCAAACGAAAAAGACGUGAUCGUUGCCGAGGACAUCAACACGAAGUCAAAGUUGUGGGGUUCCCCCAUAAAUGAUAAAAAGGGGGAACUCUGGAA